RNAcentral lists this ribosomal RNA (497 nucleotides) under uncultured bacterium. RNAcentral's name for it is "partial 16S ribosomal RNA". It matches the Rfam family "Bacterial small subunit ribosomal RNA", at positions 28 to 507 of the family's 1533-position model. The record is from RNAcentral.
GAUGAACGCUGGCGGCGUGCCUAAUACAUGCAAGUCGAGCGAACGGACGAGGAGCUUGCUUCUCUGAUGUUAGCGGCGGACGGGUGAGUAACAUGUGUAUAACCUACCUAUAAGACUGGGAUAAUUUCGGGAAACCGGAUCUAAUACCGGAUAAUAUUUUGAACCGCGUGGUGCAAAAGUGAAAGACGGUCUUUCUGUCACUUAUAGCUGGAUCCGCGCUGCAUUAGCUAGUUGGUAAGGUAACGGCUUACCAAGGCGACGAUGCAUAGCCGACCUGAGAGGGAGAUCGGCCACCCGGGAAGUGAGACACGGUCCAGACUCCUACGGGAGGCAGCAGUCGGGAAUCUUACGCAAUGGGGGAGAGCCUGACAGAGCAACGCCGCGUGAGUGAUGAAGGUGCUCUGAUCGGAAAGCUCUGUUAUUAGGGAAGAACAUAUGUGUAAGUAACUGUGCAGAUAUUGACGGUACCGAAUCAAAAAGCCACGGCUAACUACGUG